UGUUAGGUUAGUGUAAAAGUAACUGUGGUUUUCGCCAUUAAAAGUAAUGGCGAAAACCGCAAUUACUUUUGCACCAACCUAAUA
Molecule: microRNA precursor, 84 nt
Organism: Nomascus leucogenys (northern white-cheeked gibbon)
Lineage: Eukaryota; Metazoa; Chordata; Mammalia; Primates; Hylobatidae
Rfam family: mir-548 microRNA precursor family
Source: Rfam